GAGUUCGUUGUGAUCUCGUGAAAACAACAAGUUGGGUUGUGAACUUGUAAAACAACCGGCUGUAAUCCGUGGGAUUAUAGUGAACUCCCAAGUGAAGCUUGGGGAGUGGACGUAGGAGCAAGGGUUAGCUCCGAACCACUAUAAAAUCUCUUGUGUUUGUGAUUGUUUCAUUGUCUCUUCCAUUCCCUUCAUUCACUGCAUAUAGUAAACUAAUUAAUCCACUUGCAAUAAGGUUUAAUUAGUUACUCAUUAAGUUUUUAUUUGCA
Molecule: long non-coding RNA, 266 nt
Filed under: Phoenix dactylifera (date palm)
Lineage: Eukaryota; Viridiplantae; Streptophyta; Magnoliopsida; Arecales; Arecaceae
Description: long non-coding RNA (PDAC_LNC010548)
Source: RNAcentral